UGCAGUCGAACGAUAGUUUACCAGCUUGCUGGUAGCGAAAGUUGGCGCACGGGUGCGUAACGCGUAUGCAACCUACCUUAAUCAGGGGGAUAGCCCGAAGAAAUUCGGAUUAACACCGCAUAAAAUCACAGUACAGCAUUGUACAAUGAUCAAAUAUUUAUAGGAUUAAGAUGGGCAUGCGUGACAUUAGUUAGUUGGCGGGGUAACGGCCCACCAAGACCACGAUGUCUAGGGGAUCUGAGAGGAUGACCCCCCACACUGGUACUGAGACACGGACCAGACUCCUACGGGAGGCAGCAGUAAGGAAUAUUGGUCAAUGGAGGCAACUCUGAACCAGCCAUGCCGCGUGCAGGAAGACAGCCCUCUGGGUCGUAAACUGCUUUUAUUCGGGAAUAAACCACAUUACGUGUAAUGUGCUGAAUGUACCGAAGGAAUAAGGAUCGGCUAACUCCGUGCCAGCAGCCGCGGUAAUACGGAGGAUCCAAGCGUUAUCCGGAUUUAUUGGGUUUAAAGGGUGCGUAGGCGGCUUUUUAAGUCAGGGGUGAAAGACGGUGGCUCAACCAUCGCAGUGCCCUUGAUACUGAAGAGCUUGAAUGAAUUAGAGGUAGGCGGAAUGUGACAAGUAGCGGUGAAAUGCAUAGAUAUGUCACAGAACACCGAUUGCGAAGGCAGCUUACUAUGAUUUUAUUGACGCUGAGGCACGAAAGCGUGGGGAUCAAACAGGAUUAGAUACCCUGGUAGUCCACGCCCUAAACGAUGAAUACUCGCUGUUAGCGAUACACAGUUAGCGGCUAAGCGAAAGCGUUAAGUAUUCCACCUGGGGAGUACGGUCGCAAGAUUGAAACUCAAAGGAAUUGACGGGGGCCCGCACAAGCGGAGGAGCAUGUGGUUUAAUUCGAUGAUACGCGAGGAACCUUACCCGGGCUUGAAAGUUAGUGAAUCAUUUAGAGAUAGAUGAGUCCGCAAGGACACGAAACUAGGUGCUGCAUGGCUGUCGUCAGCUCGUGCCGUGAGGUGUUGGGUUAAGUCCCGCAMCGAGCGCAACCCCUAUGUUUAGUUGCCAGCACGUUAAGGUGGGGACUCUAAACAGACUGCCUGUGCAAACAGAGAGGAAGGAGGGGACGACGUCAAGUCAUCAUGGCCCUUACGUCCGGGGCUACACACGUGCUACAAUGGAUGGUACAGAGGGCAGCAAGCUGGUAACAGCAAGCAAAUCUCCAAAAGCCAUUCACAGUUCGGAUAGAGGUCUGCAACUCGACCUCUUGAAGUUGGAUUCGCUAGUAAUCGUAUAUCAGCAAUGAUACGGUGAAUACGUUCCCGGGCCUUGUACACACCGCCCGUCAAGCCAUGGAAGUUGGGGGUACCUAAAGUAUGUAACCGCAAGGAGCG
RNAcentral lists this ribosomal RNA (1389 nucleotides) under Pedobacter lusitanus. RNAcentral describes it as "bacterial SSU rRNA". Lineage: Bacteria; Pseudomonadati; Bacteroidota; Sphingobacteriia; Sphingobacteriales; Sphingobacteriaceae. The record is from RNAcentral.